RNAcentral lists this ribosomal RNA (4758 nucleotides) under Triticum aestivum (bread wheat). Its description in RNAcentral is "partial small subunit ribosomal RNA". Lineage: Eukaryota; Viridiplantae; Streptophyta; Magnoliopsida; Poales; Poaceae. The record is from RNAcentral.
AUGGUAUGUGGGUGUGUUGAUAACACCUCCUCUGACAGUACUGUUCUCCAGGUCUUGAAAGUUCUCCUCAAUGCUGUUGCUUCAAAUAGGUUUAGAGUACAUGGAGAACCAUUGCUUGGAGUGAUUAGGGUAUGCUAUAACAUUGCUCUCAACAGCAAGAGCCCUGUGAACCAGGCUACCUCAAAAGCCAUGUUAACACAGAUGAUCAGCAUUGUAUUCAGGAGGAUGGAGUCCGAGCAGGCUUCUGUACCACCUGCAAGUUCUGCAGUUAAAGAUGCACCUCCGUCUAGCACAAAGGAGGACUCAGAAAAUGGAGAAAUAUCCACUGACAAGCAGGAUGAGGAAAAAACAACUCUUGGAGAUGCGUUGUCCAUGAACCGGGCUUCAGAAGCAUCUCCAACAUCUGUUGAAGAGCUUCAGAAUCUUGCAGGCGGAGCGGAUAUUAAGGGGUUGGAGGCCGUUCUUGACAAGGCUGUUGAACUCGAGGAUGGAAAGAAAGUUUCAGGCGGAAUUGACCUGGAUACAAUGAACAUAAUUCAGCGGGAUGCACUAUUGCUUUUUAGGACUCUUUGCAAGAUGAGCAUGAAAGAAGAAAGUGAUGAGGUUGCUACCAAGACAAGGCUGCUGUCACUUGAACUGUUGCAGGGAUUGUUAGAAGGAGUCAGUGAUUUGUUUGCCAAAAAUUUCCACUUCAUUGAUUCAGUUAAAGCAUACCUUUCCUACGCUCUUCUCCGGGCAUCUGUGUCUUCAUCUCCAGUUGUUUUUCAGUAUGCUACCGGAAUAUUUUCAGUUCUGUUGCUUCGGUUUAGAGAGAGUCUCAAGGGAGAAAUUGGUGUUUUCUUUCCUUUGAUAGUCUUAAGGUCUCUAGAUAGCUCUGAUAGCUCCCUCAGUCAGAAGUCCAGUGUCCUUAGAAUGCUGGAAAAAGUCUGCAAAGACUCACAAAUGCUUGCGGAUAUGUUUGUAAAUUAUGAUUGUGACAUUGACGGGCCAAACCUUUUUGAACGCAUGGUUAGUGCUCUUUCAAGAAUUGCACAUGGAUCUCAAAGCACUGAUAGUGCUGCAGUUGCUUCAUCACAGACAGUUUCUGUAAAAGGGUCAUCUCUUCAGUGCUUGGUCAGUAUUUUGAAGUCAUUGGUUGAUUGGGAGCAAGCUCGAAGAGAUUCCUCAAAUCAUGGAAGCGUUGCCGAAUCUCAUGAUGAUGGUACUUCUGCAAGGAGCUUGGCAACUGAUGAGGCGAAGGUCCAAGAGGAUGGUCGCAAUCAGUUUGAGAGAGCUAAAGCUCACAAAUCAACAAUGGAGGCUGCAAUUUCAGAGUUCAAUCGCAAGCCAGCAAAGGGGGUCGAGUAUUUAUUGUCAAAUAAGUUGAUUGAAAAUAAUGCAUCAUCUGUAGCUCAGUUUCUCAAGAGCAAUGCCAGCUUGGAUAAGGUAAUGAUUGGUGAAUAUUUGGGACAGCAUGAGGAAUUCCCCCUUGCUGUGAUGCAUGCUUAUGUCGAUUCCAUGAAGUUUUCGGGGUUGAAGUUUGAUGCCGCAAUUCGCGAGUUCCUCAAAGGAUUUCGCCUUCCUGGGGAGGCACAAAAGAUUGAUCGCAUAAUGGAAAAAUUUGCUGAGCGGUACUGUGCUGAUAACCCUGGGCUCUUUAAAAAUGCAGAUACUGCUUAUAUUCUUGCUUAUGCUGUUAUAAUGUUAAAUACCGAUGCACAUAAUCCAAUGGUAUGGCCUAAGAUGUCAAAAUCAGAUUUCGUACGUUUGAACACUGUGAGUGAUGAAGAGGAAUGUGCUCCUAAGGAGCUCUUGGAGGAACUUUAUGACUCAAUUAUCAAUGAAGAGAUAAAGAUGAAAGAUGAUCUUGCGGCAAAAACCAGUAAAGUAAGACCUGAAAUAGAAGAAAAGGGUCGCCUCGUCAAUAUCCUCAAUUUAGCUCUCCCAAGACUGAAGUCAGCAAGUGAUACAAAGGCAGAAAGUGAAAAGAUUAUUAAGCAGACCCAAGCAGUUUUCAAAAACCAGGGACAGAAGAGGGGUGUUUUUCAUGUGGCUCAGCAGGUUGAGCUUGUUAGACCAAUGCUCGAGGCUGUAGGAUGGCCUUUGCUUGCAACAUUUUCUGUAACUAUGGAGGAAGGUGACAACAAGCCUAGGGUUGUAUUGUGCAUGGAAGGGUUUAAGGCUGGUAUCCAUCUUACUCGUGUUCUUGGGAUGGAGACCAUGCGCUAUGCUUUCUUGACAUCCUUAGUGAGGUUUACAUUUCUGCAUGCUCCCAAGGACAUGCGUAGUAAAAAUGUUGAGGCAUUGCGAACUCUCCUUGCCUUAGCUGACACGGAUAUGGAUGCUUUGCAAGAUGCUUGGAAUGCUGUUUUAGAAUGUGUCUCAAGACUCGAGUAUAUCACUUCAAGUCCUUCGAUGGCCGCAACUGUUAUGCAGGGAUCAAAUCAAAUAUCAAGGGAUUCUGUAGUUCAAUCACUGAAAGAGUUGUCGGGGAAGCCUGCUGAACAAGUGUUCGUAAACAGUGUAAAACUACCAAGUGAUUCUAUUGUUGAAUUCUUCAAUGGCCUAUGUGCUGUUUCUGCUGAAGAACUUAAACAGACACCUCCUCGUGUCGUCAGCUUGCAAAAGCUUGUUGAAAUAAGCUACUACAAUAUGGCACGGAUACGUUUGGUGUGGGCCAGAAUAUGGUCGGUGCUGGCUCAGCAUUUUAUUGCUGCUGGGAGCCACCAUGACGAGAAAGUUGCUAUGUAUGCCAUUGACUCACUGAGGCAGCUUGGCAUGAAGUACUUGGAGCGUGCGGAGCUGAACAAAUUCACAUUCCAGAAUGACAUACUGAAGCCUUUUGUUAUUUUAAUGAGGAAUAGUCGCAGCGAAAAGAUCCGUGGUCUAAUUGUCGACUGCAUUGUUCAACUGAUCAAGUCAAAAGUUGGUAGCAUAAAGUCAGGUUGGCGUUGUGUGUUCAUGAUAUUCACUGCAGCAGCUGAUGAUGAGAACGAAUAUAUUGUUGAAAGUGCUUUUGAAAACGUCGAACAAGUUAUCUUGGAACAUUUUGAUCAAGUUGUUGGUGAUUGCUUCAUGGAUUGUGUUAACUGUCUUAUUGGUUUCGCCAAUAACAAAUGCACUCCUCGGAUUAGUUUGAAGGCUAUUGCUCUCCUACGUAUAUGUGAAGAUCGUUUGGCAGAGGGGUUUAUUCCUGGUGGUUCUGUUAAGCCUGUUGAUGUUCUCCCAGAGGCCAAUUUUGAUGUGACGGAGCAUUACUGGUUUCCUAUGCUUGCUGGCUUGUCUGAUCUGACCUUAGACCCCAGACCAGAAGUUAGACAUUGUGCUCUUGAAGUUCUGUUUGAUCUGCUGAACGAGAGAGGACAUAAAUUUUCUUCUCCCUUUUGGGAGAGCAUUUUCCAUCGUGUACUCUUUCCUAUAUUUGAUCAUGUGAGACAUGCUGGAAGGGAUGGCCUUUCUUCUGGGGAUGAUUGGCUUCGUGAUACUAGCAUUCAUUCUUUGCAGUUAAUCUGCAACCUUUUCAAUACUUUCUAUAAGGAAGUGUCAUUUAUGCUUCCACCUCUAUUGGGCUUACUUCUAGAGUGUGCCAAGAAAACAGACCAAACUGUUGUCUCAAUUGCUCUAGGAGCUUUAGUUCAUCUAAUAGAGGUUGGUGGUCACCAAUUCAGCGAUGGUGAUUGGGAAACACUACUUAAGAGUAUUAGGGAUGCAUCAUACACAACACAACCCCUUGAACUCCUCAAUUCACUAGGAUUUCAAAAGACAAGCAAUCAACAAUUACUUUCAAGAGAAUCUGAGACCGACGCUAGUAGUUACCAUGAUAUCAGGGAAGGAGAAGCAUCAAUAAGUAAUAAUGGCGAACAGGAGGGUCAUCAGGAAACAAGUCCACGGAUUGGAUUGGAAAAUUCAGAUGGUUUGCCAUCACCAUCUGGGAGAGCACAACCUGCAGUCUCCCCAUCUAAUCAAACCUUUGGACAAAGAUUUAUGGGUAAUAUGAUGGGUAAUCUUUUGGUCAGAAGUCUUACAUCCAAAUCAAAGGGCAAAAUGGACGAUGCUGCUCCGCCCUCACCUGCAAAGACACCUGAAGCUGAUGGAGCUGACAAGACUGAAGAAGAAGAGAACCCUAUGAUGGAGACUGUUAGAAGUAAAUGCAUCACUCAGCUGCUGCUACUUGGGGCUAUUGACAGUAUACAGAAGAGGUAUUGGAGCAAACUGCAAGCCACACAACAGAUCGCAAUUAUGGAUAUCCUGCUGUCGCUCCUAGAAUUUGCUUCUUCAUAUAACUCACCAUCGAACCUUCGGACAAGGAUGCACCAUAUACCGCCUGAAAGGCCACCACUAAAUCUUCUUCGCCAGGAGCUAGCUGGAACUACUAUUUAUUUAGAGAUUCUACACAAAUCAACAGUGCACAAUGGUGCAAAUGGCUCAUCUGAGGAAACAAAUGGAUCUGGCGUGGAGUCUGAUCAACAAGAAAAGCUCAAGAGCCUGGCAGAAGGGAAGCUCGUUUCAUUUUGUGGGAAUAUUUUGAAAGAAGCGUCUGAUCUCCAGCCUAGCAAUGGGGAAACUGCUAGUGCGGACAUACACCGUGUACUUGAUCUACGUGCACCUGUUAUUAUCAAGGUUUUGAAUGGAAUGUGCAUCAUGGAUGCUCAGAUAUUCAAGAAGCACCUAAGAGAGUUCUAUCCAUUAAUUACCAAACUUAUCUGCUGUGAUCAGAUGGAUGUUCGUGGGGCCCUUGGCGAUCUUUUCAGCAAACAACUUACUCCACUCAUGCCCUGA